CCCAAGGGUACUCAGCAGUGAUAAAUAUUAAGCCAUGAGUGAAAACUUGACUUAAUUAUAGUUAAGAGGGCCGGUAAAACUCGUGCCAGCCACCGCGGUUAUACGAGAGGCCCAAGUUGACAGACAACGGCGUAAAGGGUGGUUAGGGAUUACAAUAAACUAAAGCUAAACAACCUCAAAUCUGUUAUAAGUACUCGAGAGUUUGAAACCCAACUACGAAAGUGGCUUUAAUUAACCUGAACCCACGAAAGCUAAGAAACAAACUGGGAUUAGAUACCCCACUAUGCUUAGCCCUAAACAUCGAUUUAAUACCCCAUUAAAUCCGCCUGGGGACUACGAACGUAUGUUUAAAACCCCAAGGACUUGGCGGUGCUUUAUAUCCACCUAGAGGAGCCUGUUCUAGAACCGAUGAUCCCCGUUAAACCUCACCUUCUCUUGCAAUAUCCGCCUAUAUACCACCGUCGUCAGCUUACCCUGUGAAGGGACGACAGUAAGCACAAUUGGUACAACCCAAAACGUCAGGUCGAGGUGUAGCGAAUGAGAGGGGAAGAAAUGGGCUACAUUUGCUAGCAUAGCAAAUACGGACGAUGCAUUGAAACAUGCAACUGAAGGAGGAUUUAGUAGUAAGCAGAAAAUAGAGUGUUUAGCUGAAACUGGCCCUAAAGCGCGCACAUACCGCCCGUCACCCUCCCCGAGCUAAGAAGUCGACAUAACUAAUCCCCUACACCUGUAAAGGGGAGGC
Molecule: ribosomal RNA, 742 nt
Filed under: Scophthalmus aquosus (windowpane)
Lineage: Eukaryota; Metazoa; Chordata; Actinopteri; Pleuronectiformes; Scophthalmidae
Description: partial 12S ribosomal RNA
Rfam family: Bacterial small subunit ribosomal RNA
Source: RNAcentral